GCUGACUGUAAUUUAUAAAGGACGACCGUCAAUUCUAAGAAAUAUCCGUACUUGUAUUCAAAGCUUUUUGUUGAGUUUGUCGAUCUCAAUAGGGAUCGGUUAGCGGAUAUAAAUAUGUUUCAUAAAUUUCUUUUUUUUUGGCCGUAUUUUGGGUUCAUGACAAUGAUAGUAAACUGCAUAUUUCUCGUAAACAAUGAAAUAUUUAUUGAUAACGACGUUAAAAUUUAAUACAAAUUGACAGCGAUACGACGAAAAUUUGAAGAAACAUGAAUGUGUCCCUAGUACACGGAUGCCUUAUCUACACUAUCAUUUUCUAUGUUUAGUGGACCGUGAAAAUGGGAUAAAACUGUAAUGUGGCAUUAGAAUUAAAAAGUC
This 375-nucleotide long non-coding RNA is filed under the name Mytilus galloprovincialis (Mediterranean mussel). Lineage: Eukaryota; Metazoa; Mollusca; Bivalvia; Mytilida; Mytilidae. The record is from RNAcentral.